GUGAAACAAGAAAUAGAUGAGACAAUUCAUUAUAAAAAUUCAUAUCACGAGGUCGUAUUCUGAUAAUCACUUCUACAACAAUAUUUAAUAGAAGAUACUCAGAUGAAGAUGAUAAAACAAUGUCUUUCUAGCUAUGGAGGAACCAGGUAGGAACUUCUGGUUUAGUGAACUUCAAGAUGAGGGACUCCAUCUACUAAUUCAGAACUGAGGCUUCUGCAUAGACACACUUCGACAUACUUGCUAAGAAAGUGCCUAAAGUUGCUUGCUUCAAGACUAUCCAUUCCUUUGACUGGUCAAAUGAAAGCCAAACAUUAAGGCGUUGAGAAGGCUCACGCAAGUGGCGAGCCAUCCUUAAAGUCA
This 360-nucleotide long non-coding RNA is filed under the name Monodelphis domestica (gray short-tailed opossum). RNAcentral describes it as "lncRNA (ENSMODG00000048172.1)". Lineage: Eukaryota; Metazoa; Chordata; Mammalia; Didelphimorphia; Didelphidae. The record is from RNAcentral.